UAGUUGGUCGUGAGGCUGACGAACAUUGAGUUGGGCUGAGCAAGGC
Molecule: ribosomal RNA, 46 nt
Filed under: Butyriboletus roseoflavus
Lineage: Eukaryota; Fungi; Basidiomycota; Agaricomycetes; Boletales; Boletaceae
Description: partial 28S ribosomal RNA
Source: RNAcentral